UGGGGAAUAUUGCACAAUGGGCGCAAGCCUGAUGCAGCCAUGCCGCGUGUAUGAAGAAGGCCUUCGGGUUGUAAAGUACUUUCAGCGGGGAGGAAGGGAGUAAAGUUAAUACCUUUGCUCAUUGACGUUACCCGCAGAAGAAGCACCGGCUAACUCCGUGCCAGCAGCCGCGGUAAUACGGAGGGUGCAAGCGUUAAUCGGAAUUACUGGGCGUAAAGCGCACGCAGGCGGUUUGUUAAGUCAGAUGUGAAAUCCCCGGGCUCAACCUGGGAACUGCAUCUGAUACGGGCAAGCUUGAGUCUCGUAGAGAGGGGUAGAAUUCCAGGUGUAGCGGUGAAAUGCGUAGAGAUCUGGAGGAAUACCGGUAGCGAAGGCGGCCCCCUGGACGAAGACUGACGCUCAGGUGCGAAAGCGUGGGGAGCAAACAGG
RNAcentral lists this ribosomal RNA (429 nucleotides) under Chloroflexota bacterium. RNAcentral describes it as "Chloroflexi bacterium partial 16S ribosomal RNA". It matches the Rfam family "Bacterial small subunit ribosomal RNA", at positions 355 to 776 of the family's 1533-position model. The record is from RNAcentral. Lineage: Bacteria; Bacillati; Chloroflexota.